UACAGAGGGUGCGAGCGUUAAUCGGAAUUACUGGGCGUAAAGCGCGCGUAGGCGGCUUUGCAAGCCGGAUGUGAAAUCCCCGGGCUUAACCUGGGAACUGCAUUCGGGACUGCAUUGCUAGAGUAUGGGAGAGGGAAGUGGAAUUUCAGGUGUAGCGGUGAAAUGCGUAGAUAUCGGGAAGAACACCCGUGGCGAAGGCGGUUCUCUGGGACGGUACUGACGCUGAGACGCGAAAGCGUGGGGAGCGAACAGG
Molecule: ribosomal RNA, 253 nt
Filed under: uncultured bacterium
Lineage: Bacteria
Description: partial 16S ribosomal RNA
Rfam family: Bacterial small subunit ribosomal RNA
Source: RNAcentral